CCUACGGGAGGCAGCAGUGAGGAAUAUUGGUCAAUGGGCGUAAGCCUGAACCAGCCAAGUCGCGUGAGGGAUGAAGGUUCUAUGGAUCGUAAACCUCUUUUAUAAGGGAAUAAAGUGUGGGACGUGUCCUAUUUUGUAUGUACCUUAUGAAUAAGGAUCGGCUAAAUCCGUUCCAGCAGCCGCGGUAAUUCGGAGGAUCCGGGCGUUAGCCGGGUUUAUUGGGUUUAACGGGUGCGUAGGGGGCCUUUUAAUGCAGCGGUGAAAGUGUGUGGGUCAACCAUAGAAUUGCCGUUGAAACUGGUGGUCUUGAGUAUGUUAGAGGCAGGCGGAAUGCGUGGGGUAGCGGUGAAAUGCUUAGAGAUCACGCAGAACCCCGAUUGCGAAGGCAGCCUGCCAAGCCAUGACUGACGCUGAUGCACGAAAGCGUGGGGAUCAAACAGGAUUAGAUACCCGAGUAGUC
RNAcentral lists this ribosomal RNA (460 nucleotides) under uncultured bacterium. Its description in RNAcentral is "partial 16S ribosomal RNA". It matches the Rfam family "Bacterial small subunit ribosomal RNA", at positions 338 to 795 of the family's 1533-position model. The record is from RNAcentral.